CUACGGGGUGCUCCAGUGAGGAAUAUUGCACAAUGGGGGGAACCCUGAUGCAGCAACGCCGCGUGGAGGAUGACGCAUUUCGGUGUGUAAACUCCUUUUAUAUGUCAAGAGAAUGACGGUAGCAUAUGAAUAAGCACCGGCUAACUCCGUGCCAGCAGCCGCGGUAAUACGGAGGGUGCAAGCGUUACUCGGAAUCACUGGGCGUAAAGGACGCGUAGGCGGGUUGGAAAGUCAGGUGUGAAAUCCUACAGCUUAACUGUAGAACUGCACUUGAAACUUCUAAUCUAGAGUAUGGGAGGGGGAGAUGGAAUUAGUGGUGUAGGGGUAAAAUCCGUAGAUAUCACGAGGAAUACCUAAAGCGAAGGCGAUCUCCUGGAACAUUACUGACGCUAAGGCGUGAAAGCGUGGGGAGCAAACAGGAUUAGAUACCCCUGUAGUC
RNAcentral lists this ribosomal RNA (439 nucleotides) under uncultured bacterium. RNAcentral describes it as "partial 16S ribosomal RNA". It matches the Rfam family "Bacterial small subunit ribosomal RNA", at positions 339 to 795 of the family's 1533-position model. The record is from RNAcentral.